Molecule: ribosomal RNA, 492 nt
Filed under: uncultured bacterium
Lineage: Bacteria
Description: bacterial SSU rRNA
Rfam family: Bacterial small subunit ribosomal RNA
Source: RNAcentral
GAUCCUGGCUCAGGAUGAACGCUGGCGGCGUGCUUAACACAUGCAAGUCGAACGAAGCACUUUGAUCGAUUUCUUCGGAUUGAAAUUUUAGUGACUGAGUGGCGGACGGGUGAGUAACGCGUGGGUAACCUGCCUCACACAGGGGGAUAACAGUUGGAAACGACUGCUAAUACCGCAUAAGCGCACAGUGCCGCAUGGCACGGUGUGAAAAACUCCGGUGGUCUGGGAUGGACCCGCGUCCGAUUAGUUAGUUGGUGGGGUAACGGCCCACCAAGACUGCGAUCGGUAGCCGACCUGAGAGGGUGACCGGCCACAUUGGGACUGAGACACGGCCCAGACUCCUACGGGAGGCAGCAGUGGGGAAUAUUGCACAAUGGAGGAAACUCUGAUGCAGCGACGCCGCGUGAGCGAAGAAGUAUUUCGGUAUGUAAAGCUCUGUCAGCAGGGAAGAUAAUGACGGUACCUGACCAAGAAGCCCCGGCUAACUACGUG